RNAcentral lists this ribosomal RNA (329 nucleotides) under uncultured eukaryote. RNAcentral's name for it is "partial 18S ribosomal RNA". It matches the Rfam family "Eukaryotic small subunit ribosomal RNA", at positions 1470 to 1796 of the family's 1831-position model. The record is from RNAcentral.
CCCUUAGAUGUUCUGGGCCGCACGCGCGCUACACUGACGAUGGCAACGAGUUUUUCCUUCGCCGAAAGGUGUGGGUAAUCUUUUGAAACAUCGUCGUGCUGGGGAUAGAUCAUUGCAAUUUUUGAUCUUGAACGAGGAAUUCCUAGUAAGCGCGAGUCAUCAGCUCGCGUUGAUUACGUCCCUGCCCUCUGUACACACCGCCCGUCGCUACUACCGAUUGAAUGGUUUAGUGAGGACUCCUGAUUGGCGCCGCCGCCCCGGCAACGGAGCAGCGGACUGCCGAAAAGUUGUUCAAACUUGAUCAUUUAGAGGAAGUAAAAGUCGUAACA